Molecule: long non-coding RNA, 490 nt
Filed under: Lonchura striata (white-rumped munia)
Lineage: Eukaryota; Metazoa; Chordata; Aves; Passeriformes; Estrildidae
Description: domestica (Bengalese finch) lncRNA (ENSLSDG00000010345.1)
Source: RNAcentral
GGAUGGGGAUGGGGAUGGGGAUGGGGAUGGGGGCACGGCGGGAUCCGCGGCCGCCCGAGCGGAACGGUGGAUGACCUUGAGGCGCCGGCCAGCAGUAGAGAGGGAGGCAGAAGCCCCUCCCGAGCCCCACAGGAGCGGAUCUGCCGCCCGGCGCUGCCGGGGAAAGCUCCUGCUCUCAGCCGCGCCGAGGGGUCUUCAGGCUGGCUUCGGUCCCAGCUGGACAGCUGAUGGAGAGCCAUCAGGUCCAGUGUGGCAAUGCUGAAGCCCAGGAGCAGCACUGGAAACAUCUGUCCUGUGCUCUCUGGCAAGGGCUUCUGCUUCCCUUGAAUGUCCAGCUCACAGGCUGAGCUCUCUGAACUGGAGCUGGAGCUCCAGACGGGGGUCCAGGUUGUUGUUUGGGGUGCCCAGCAACAUCUCUGGUGAGAAGAAUGCAGAAGGAGCUUCCUCAAAUGGGGAUCUGGCACCUUUCUUAUGGACUCGGCAUUUCUGA